ACAUAAUUAGCAGGGAAGAUGCCCAGGCGGCCGUGGUGCUCUCCCUCCAGCCAGUUCUUGUCCACCUCCUUGUGGAUGUAGACAAUGUCACCCUUCUGCAGAGUCAGCUCCCUGCAGGUGGGGACGAGGACCGCAGGGAAGGGGCUUCCUCCAUCAGCCAUUUUGUGGGGACUCAGGGACCGGGCGGAACCCAGGUAAGGUGCAUGUGGGUAGCUGGAGCUCCAGGCUGAGGCCGGGCUGCACGGGGCACAGAGACUGAGCCUCCAGCCUGGGGCUCCGCACCCCACCCUGGUCACCCCUAGACCGCUCUGACCCCCCAUCGCCCCCAUCCCUGCCACCUCCUCCCAGGGCGUCUCCCGGGUCCUGGGCUCUCCACAGGAUGUCCUACUUCCCGAGUCGCUGCGCGGGGAAGGGUGAGGCCCGGCAGGGCCCAGCGGGAGUGCCUGGGCCGUGGCGGGGCCGCCCUAACCGCGCUGCGCCCCCGGCGGCCGCGACCCCGGUCCUCUGCUAGGAGUUAGCUGCCCUCGGUGGCGCGGGAACGGCGCCCCGCAGAGAGUGGCGCUGCGGUCCCUCCCGGACACGGCU
Molecule: long non-coding RNA, 585 nt
Organism: Homo sapiens (human)
Lineage: Eukaryota; Metazoa; Chordata; Mammalia; Primates; Hominidae
Source: Ensembl